UUUUUUUUUUUUUGGUUUGCCACGGAAGAUAUAAUGGGCAUACUGCCAUGUCAAAUAUAAAUCAAAGAACUCCUAUGUACACAGCAUUGUAAGUGUCAAUUGCGGUGGCAUGUUUGGGUGUGGUUCUGGAACUUACAGGGCUUUAUCUCAUUGAGAGUGAGUGUUACUAAUGCACAUUAUCUUCUUGGAACCAGAUUGUUACGAUCCCAUUGCAAGGAA
RNAcentral lists this unclassified non-coding RNA (219 nucleotides) under Hevea brasiliensis (rubber tree). The record is from RNAcentral. Lineage: Eukaryota; Viridiplantae; Streptophyta; Magnoliopsida; Malpighiales; Euphorbiaceae.